Molecule: ribosomal RNA, 772 nt
Filed under: bacterium
Lineage: Bacteria
Description: bacterial SSU rRNA
Rfam family: Bacterial small subunit ribosomal RNA
Source: RNAcentral
GAUGAACCACUUCGGUGGGGAUUAGUGGCGAACGGGUGAGUAACACGUGGGCAAUCUGCCCUGCACUCUGGGACAAGCCCUGGAAACGGGGUCUAAUACCGGAUACGACCAUCUUGGGCAUCCUUGAUGGUGGAAAGCUCCGGCGGUGCAGGAUGAGCCCGCGGCCUAUCAGCUUGUUGGUGAGGUAAUGGCUCACCAAGGCGACGACGGGUAGCCGGCCUGAGAGGGCGACCGGCCACACUGGGACUGAGACACGGCCCAGACUCCUACGGGAGGCAGCAGUGGGGAAUAUUGCACAAUGGGCGAAAGCCUGAUGCAGCGACGCCGCGUGAGGGAUGACGGCCUUCGGGUUGUAAACCUCUUUCAGCAGGGAAGAAGCGAAAGUGACGGUACCUGCAGAAGAAGCGCCGGCUAACUACGUGCCAGCAGCCGCGGUAAUACGUAGGGCGCAAGCGUUGUCCGGAAUUAUUGGGCGUAAAGAGCUCGUAGGCGGCUUGUCACGUCGGUUGUGAAAGCCCGGGGCUUAACCCCGGGUCUGCAGUCGAUACGGGCAGGCUAGAGUUCGGUAGGGGAGAUCGGAAUUCCUGGUGUAGCGGUGAAAUGCGCAGAUAUCAGGAGGAACACCGGUGGCGAAGGCGGAUCUCUGGGCCGAUACUGACGCUGAGGAGCGAAAGCGUGGGGAGCGAACAGGAUUAGAUACCCUGGUAGUCCACGCCGUAAACGGUGGGCACUAGGUGUGGGCAACAUUCCACGUUGUCCGUGCCGCAGCUAA